Long non-coding RNA from Hippocampus comes (tiger tail seahorse), 814 nucleotides. RefSeq lists it as uncharacterized. NCBI's taxonomy places the organism in Eukaryota, Metazoa, Chordata, Actinopteri, Syngnathiformes, Syngnathidae. The record is from RefSeq and is a predicted model, not a curated record. The transcript is spliced from 4 exons.
UGGCGAACCUGAAUGAGUUGAGGUCACUGUAUCCUGUUUCGCCGCUACGAUCAUUAUUCGCAUGCAAUAGGACCUCUCCAAACAUUGUCAGGCCUGGCAGGACUGACUGUGGACACAAAACCAAAACACAGUAAUAAGUCACUAGAACCUUCUACAGCAUUGGUGAUAGAUAUUUUAAAACAGCUCUGAUCUAGGGAGCGGGAUUGCUCGUGCCACCUUACCAUGACUCUGUGGACUCUGCUCUGCACAAAGUCCACAUUCAUCUCCCACUGGAGAGGCAGCAGAAGCCACACACCCGAAUGAGGAUCCCAGAACCGGCACACGUUCACUCUCUCCUGGAAAAAGCACAAACAACACAAGUUAGAUCAUGGAAUACAAACAUGGGCCUCUUCUACAGUUGUCACCUUAGGGAGGUAAGGGGGGGGGGGGGGGGGGGGGGGGUCCCAGUAAUCGUUGGUGCUAAGUUUUCAGGGGAUCUAGGUCCAAGGUGAGGAAUCAGACAAAGAAGAGAUUCUCCGGACGAGGAAAAAAAAGAUGGAAAAUGGAUGGAGAGAAACAUGAAACUUCUGAGAAGCCAACAGGAGUUUCUGAUUUCAAACAUGGGACCUUGGUGUGCCCCGACGGAGGCCUUCACCUCGAACAUGACUGCAGGUGUGGGUGUCCUUACUACCACAGGGGUUGGGGUCCGGACCACAGGAGUAGGGGUCCGGGCCACAGGAGUGGGAGUCUGGACCAGGUCGGGCUGUUCAUCCUCCACCAGGCCCAGACGGGAUCCCUCGGUGGUGGUGGACGCUCCACUUCCCAUCUCGACGCU